RNAcentral lists this unclassified non-coding RNA (68 nucleotides) under Vibrio nigripulchritudo AM115. The record is from RNAcentral. Lineage: Bacteria; Pseudomonadati; Pseudomonadota; Gammaproteobacteria; Vibrionales; Vibrionaceae.
UUUGUUUCACGUUAUUGGAUUAGGCUGAUUCAGCCGCCCCAGUCAGUUUUUGACUGGGGCGUUUUUUA